Molecule: ribosomal RNA, 775 nt
Filed under: uncultured Neocallimastigales
Lineage: Eukaryota; Fungi; Neocallimastigomycota; Neocallimastigomycetes; Neocallimastigales
Description: partial large subunit ribosomal RNA
Rfam family: Eukaryotic large subunit ribosomal RNA
Source: RNAcentral
CGCAUCUGUGCAUGCAGCAUAUCAAUAAGCGGAGGAAAAGAAACUAACAAGGAUUCCCCUAGUAACGGCGAGGUGAAGCGGGAAGAGCUCAAAUUUGAAAUCUUAAAGGGUUUCCCUUUACGAAUUGUAGUUUAAAGAAGUGUUUUCUGUUGAGGUUUUGGUAAAAGUUCUUUGGAAUAGGACAUCAUAGAGGGUGAGAAUCCCGUAUUUGACCUUUACUUUCAACUUUGUGAUACACUUUCAAAGAGUCGGAUUGUUUGGGAAUGCAGUCCAAAAUGGGUGGUAAAUUUCAUCUAAAGCUAAAUAUUGGCGAGAGACCGAUAGCGAACAAGUACCGUGAGGGAAAGAUGAAAAGAACUUUGAAAAGAGAGUUAAACAGUACGUGAAAUUGUCAAAAGGGAAGCGUUUGACACCAGUGUUGUUUUUCUGAAAAUCAAUUAAAGAACUGUUUAUGCUAAGCUGUUUAGACUUUAUCAGCUAUCUGUUUAGUUUUAGGCUUUUCUUUAAUGCACUUUUCAGUUAACAAGUCAACAUCAAUUUCUUUUGCUGUAAAAAAGCUUGAGGAAGGUGGCUUGAGAUUCGUCUUAAGUGUUUAUAGCCUCUUGCCUAUGCAGUCGGAGAGAUUGAGGUCUGCAGCGUAGAUCCUUCGGGGCUAAAUGCAUUUGUGCUAAGUUAUAGCAUUUUAUAGACAACUUGUUGACUAUGAUUUGUCUUGUAGCUUACUCGCUUAUGUUAUUUUACCUACGCUUAGGAUGUUGAACGCGCACAGAGUCUC